CUGGGGAGCGAUGUGACUGAUGCCUGCAUCGAAUAGUCCCUACUCAAUUAACAAGUUUUUGAACUAGGAGACAUGGAUACCAAUCAAUUUUUAGUAGUCUCCUAAGUCCUCUUUGGGAAAAUCUUUCCUAGAAUUCAGGUCGAGCUGAGGCUUACCCUAGGUGGUCCUAAAACCCCAAGGCUAAUCCAAACUAAGAGACAAAAAAAUUCCUAUUUUUCCAACUAGGAAAGAAAGAUAGG
Molecule: long non-coding RNA, 239 nt
Filed under: Elaeis guineensis (African oil palm)
Lineage: Eukaryota; Viridiplantae; Streptophyta; Magnoliopsida; Arecales; Arecaceae
Description: long non-coding RNA (EGUI_LNC023005)
Source: RNAcentral